CUACGGGGGGCUGCAGUGAGGAAUAUUGCACAAUGGGGGGAACCCUGAUGCAGCAACGCCGCGUGGAGGAUGGCGCAUUUCGGUGUGUAAACUCCUUUUAUAUGUCAAGAAAAUGACGGUAGCAUAUGAAUAAGCACCGGCUAACUCCGUGCCAGCAGCCGCGGUAAUACGGAGGGUGCAAGCGUUACUCGGAAUCACUGGGCGUAAAGGACGCGUAGGCGGGUUGGAAAGUCAGGUGUGAAAUCCUACAGCUUAACUGUAGAACUGCACUUGAAACUUCUAAUCUAGAGUAUGGGAGGGGGAGAUGGAAUUAGUGGUGUAGGGGUAAAAUCCGUAGAUAUCACUAAGAAUACCUAAAGCGAAGGCGAUCUCCUGGAACAUUACUGACGCUAAGGCGUGAAAGCGUGGGGAGCAAACAGGAUUAGAUACCCGUGUAGUC
This 439-nucleotide ribosomal RNA is filed under the name uncultured bacterium. RNAcentral's name for it is "partial 16S ribosomal RNA". It matches the Rfam family "Bacterial small subunit ribosomal RNA", at positions 339 to 795 of the family's 1533-position model. The record is from RNAcentral.